UUCAUUUUACUAAAGGUCAUUAAACUUAUUUUAUUUAUAACUUUUGAUAGGAAACUCCAAUUUAAGUGAAAUUUGAGGCUAACUCUAUGUUUUAACAUACAAAUAACUUAUUUUUGGCAUCAAAACUCAAGGAAAAUAGUUCAACACAUAGGUUCAAGACAUGACAGCAAGCUCAAAAAUUUCAAAGCAACAUGUUCAAGGAAGUUCAACAACAAGCAUAUGGUUCAAGAUUUGGAGAGAUCCCCUUACCUCUUGUAGUUUUCACGAAAUUUAGAAGGAAGAAUAAAGGAGUUUAGAUUUAAGUUUUCAACCUUCAAGAGUGCAAAAUAAGGUUUUGAAACUACAAAUGAUAAUAGAGCAAGAAAAUGAAGUGAAAAUCAAGCUUAGAGUUCAAAAUGAAAGUCACUUACCUAAGCUCGAUGGAAGAAGGGGCUCAAGAACACUUGGUAAAACUUGGAAGAAGAAGAAAAAUAUGGUCUCCGCUUUCUCUAAAAGCUUCAACAAAAUGGGAGAACUGACAUAGACUUUGGCUUUUAAAAAUAACACUUAUUGUAGGUGAAAUGCUUGGACCAAUAGGAUUGCAAGACCUUAUCCUUAUCUUCUUAAUCUAAGUACUUUGAAUGAUCGUUAAUAUAACUAAUUGGCAACUUGGACAGUCCUUGAUGUACUCUCCACGAGCUCAGUCAUGCCUUGUAUAACUUUUUGCACUUUUCCAAAACUAACUAUAAAAGGAUAAAGUAGAGUUUUGCCAAAAAUGGUAAAAACUGUUUUUGCUAAAACUAAUAAAUCUUAUCUUAAUCUUCUAGAUAAUGUGCUAAUCUCCCUUGGGAUACGUGUACUUAGAGUGAAUCUUGCAUAGAGUCCACUCACAAAGCGACAAAUUACACUACGACUCAAUGCACAGUGUAAUUCUUUCCCAGAUGAAAAUCUAGUUUAGUGAGUUUCUAUUUCUCUGUCAAGCUUUACUAAAUCAAUCAAAAAUACACACACAAACACACACACACACACACAUACAUAUACACAUAUAUAGCACGAAAUUCUAUGAUUAAAAACAUAUAACUACUGAAAUUAAAUUCAUACAUGCACAGAUGACACAACACAGAGUUUUCUCUGUCAGUUUGAGUUGUAGUUUUUUAGAGUAUUACAACUUUAACUUAUUUUAAUUAUUUUACAUCAUAUAAUUAGACACUUUAAUUAGUCACCAACUAAUUAAACUAAAAUUCUAUUUUUAAACUAGUUAUAUAGUCAUUUACGAAAAUAUCCUCCACUUUAAACUCUUAUGACUUAAUUACCCCUUUUCUAAUUUUAUUGAAUCUAGAUCACCAUUAAUCAACUGUAGUUAUCCUCACUUAAUUUUUAAAUUUACUUACAUUAAUUACUAAUUUUCUUUCAAGCUUUUAAUUCUAUUUCUAGACCAAAAUCCAAUUAUUAACAUCUAGGUCAUUAAUGAGUUGACCAUUAUUUGAUCAGAGAAUUUUCUCUAAGUUAUCCUUAUUCCUUCUAGACUUUAGCUUAAAAGUUUAAGAGUUUAAUGAUGCCUAGAUAUCCUAUGGUAAUAUCUCAUUUUUUUUACCAUUUCAAUAGUCUAAAAACAUUACCCUAUCAUACAACAAAGCAACAACACUAUCUAUCACACACAUGGAAAAUUGGGAUGUUACAGUAGCUCAACUGUGCUUGUGUACAAUGACCCAAAAAAAUACAGUUUCGAAGUAAUGGUUCUUAUAUCAAUUGUAUUUAUUUAAUUUUAUUUUGUUCAUCCAUAUUUCCCCGACCUUUCUUUUAAUUAUUAGCAAUAUUAUGUUAGUUUGAUUUUGUACAUAUUCUAUUCAUCUACUGACAUAUAGUCUCGACUUCUACUGUACUGUCAUCAAUUUUUAUAGGUUGUUUACCAACUUUGGCUACAAUUCCAGUCUGGAUUGGUCUCUACCAAGCUUUAUCAAAUGUGGCAAAUGAGGUAAUAAUUAAUUAUAUAAACUUUUAUCAUUUGAGCGGAGAUUUUGAUGGACAAAUUACACACAGAAAAUAUGAUUUUUUGUUAAUUAUGGAAAAUCUUUAAUUUGAAGGGACUGCUAACCGAAGGUUUUCUUUGGAUCCCCUCUUUGGGUGGUCCUACUACCAUUGCUGCUAGACAAAGUGGAGCUGGAAUCUCUUGGCUUUUUCCAUUUGUGGUAAGAAAGAUAUCUUUUGCUACAUAGGUGAAAUAAUAAGUUGUAGUUGGACUUUUCGCCCCUAAUCCUGUGAGUCUGGCAUUAUGAUCUUUAGAAGUAGACUGUUUACUCUGUAUUGUUGGAAUGAAGUUAUGGAUGGAAUGUUCACAGUUUACUUGCUGCAGUCAUGUUCCAAGAGGAAAUAAAUGGAAAACUUCGUAAAUUGAUUUUGUACUUUAAAUCAUUAUACAGUAUCAUAACAAACAUCUGUUAUGCAGGACGGACAUCCACCUUUGGGUUGGCAAGAUACUGCAGCAUAUCUUGUUUUACCUAUUCUUCUUGUCGUUUCUCAAUACGUUUCAAUGGAAAUCAUGAAACCACCUCAGGUAAACACAUCAGUUCUCCUCUGUUUCUUUUUCUUUUUUUUGGUGUUAACAAACUAAAUGACUUCUUUUGACAGACAGAUCCUUCUCAAAAGAAUCAACUUCUUAUUUUAAAGUUUCUUCCACUCAUGAUUGGCUACUUCUCAUUAUCUGUCCCAUCUGGACUAACAAUUUACUGGUUAGUUUUUCAGAAACUAUAUUAAAACCAUCCUUUCUAGCCAAUAAAUUCUUAUUUUUUAUGAUUUUGCUAUAACUUCAAACAUUCUUUGCUUUAUUAUUGGUUACUAAUAUAAAAUGUAUUUAUCUUCUACACUAUCUAGGCAAGUCCAAUUUGGUCAGAAAACUCCCGUAAUGGUAUCUAUACAACUCUUCUUUAUUUCAGAAACCAUUUCCUUGAUAUGCCUGCCUAAUGUGGGCAACAAAAACAUACAAAGAACAAAUGCACGAGAGCUAAAAUUCUUCUUUCUUAUUGAAACAAUAGCAUGUUCAUCAAGUGAAUGCUUUCUCAUGAUUAAAAUUUUUUAUUAAGAGAUGGUUUUGAUUUUUGACAACAUUGAUUGUGUGCUAGAGCCUAGGGGAAAUAAAAAACAAUUUCAUUGCUGCCUGAUUUUCUAUUUCUUUUACUAGGUUUAUAAACAAUGUCCUGAGCACAGCUCAACAAGUAUGGUUGCGAAAAUUGGGAGGUGCAAAGCCUGUUGUGAAUGAAAAUGCUGGUGGGAUUAUUACUGCAGGACGUGCUAAAAGAUCAGAUUCGCAGCUAGCAAGGAAUGGUGAAAGGUCAGUUUUUUCUAGUACAAGUUGCAGAGUUUCAACUCCUCUUGGAUAACAAAUUGGUGAUCUACAGGUUUAAGCAGUUAAAGGAAGAGGAAAAGAAGAAAAAGGUAAGCAAGGCACUGCCAGUGGAAGAAGUUCAGUCACUGGCUUCUGUUUCUGCUUCUGAUGAUGGCUCAGAUACAGAAAGUGACAAUAAGGUAAGUAUUAACUUGUGGAAUUUCUUGCUUAGAAAAUUUAUGUGAUAUAGCUGUCUGUUUGAGAGGAAAGAAGAAUUAAGGAAAAAGAAAAAUCUCCACAUUAACAUUAUUUGAUAUUGCACAGAAAUCUUUUUUAUAAAUUCAAUGUAUACAUUACAAAGAACAAUGUCUGACUAGCCUUAAUUUCCAAUCACUUCUAAGAUGAAACAUCUAGUAAAUUUGCCUGCAUCAGCAUGCAUGAAAAAAUAAUUGUGUCCAGCCAUAGAUUGAAUGUUCUAAAUUUUCUUUCCCUAUUGCAAUUUUGUGUUUCACAUGCUCAUUGUUGGGAAUGUAUAUAUAAUAAUAAAGUGACAACCAAUGACGUUAACUUCAGAAAGUAAAGUUAGUCAUUUAAUGGGCAUUCUACCCAACUUUCUAGCAGGUAUAGGGUAGUUAAGGGUGUUGGGCUAAUUUGAAAUGGGCAAGGAUCAAAACAAAUGGAGACACAGUUGGAGGAUGAGAAAGUGGAAGUUGAGCAACAUAUAAGUGGCAAACACUCAUAUACCUAAUGCCCUUGAGCUUUUGGGUUUUACAUGGUUUUUAGUCUGCUUAUAUGAUUCUUAGCCCAUUGUCAAAUAUCUUCUCAGGGUUUUCAGCUCCCCUCACUAACAAUACCAUAUCCCUUGCUCGGUAUUUAAAGCCUUGCUACCAUGACAUAAUGAGUGGAGAUUAAAUCAUAAAUGAUUUCAAACCAAGAGAAAUGUUAGCAACACACUAUUUUGAUCUCACUAUCUAAUAUUAGUUACAAUUUAUUGAAAAUCACAAAUUUUGGUGAAUCUUGCUUCUUAUUUAAUUAUUAUCCUAAUUUUGUAGUUUUGAAUAAAUUUUAACCAAUAGAAAAAUAAUGUGUUAGACAUAGUGUGUUAGAGGGUGUUGUUAGCAUUUCUCUUUGAACCAAAUAUUUUAACUGCUGAAAACCGAUACCGUGGAUAGAUAUGUCUGCCUUUUAAAGAGAAGCCCGACCUUCAAAUUAUAUUUCCUAUAGCUCACAAAUUGAAAGGAGGUGUCUUUUUGUCUUGUUUUACUGCUAACAAAGUGGAAGGUAACUAGAGCAUAACUUUCUGAAGGAAUGUUCUCUUUGUUAUUUCUCCCCUUCUCUUCUAACCACCUGUCGUCCCAUACUGUCCUUAUUUUUGUUUUUUAUUUUAUUUUUUAAAAGAAAAUUGCUGUGACUUUGUUAUAUUUUAUUGUUUUAAGAUUGUUUGGGAUUUUCAUUCUUUUAGAUAAAAUUCCCGAUGCUAAGUUACCUUGUUACAGGGACAGGAAGAUGCAGAAGAAGCAUACGCUUCUAAAGUUGGCGAAGAGGUUCAAAAUUAUUCUAGGGAAAGAAGAAGCAAGCGUUCGAAGCGGAAGCGUGCUGUAUAAAGGACCGCAUACGAUUAGUUUAUAGUGAGUUUUGUAUAUCUCAGAUUAUAGCAUUUUUGGGUUGGCUAUUAAUUAAAUAUAUGUAUCUAUACUCGGCAAAAUAUCUUUGUUAAGUUCCACAUGUUAGCUAAAGCAAUUUGUCUUGUGACGUUUAAUUUCAUUAAGAUGUAUCCCCCCUUAAAACUAGGAGUAUAAAAACUUCUAUUCCCUCCUUUCCAAAAUAAUAAUUAGUUUUAGCUUUUUUUUUUCUUUCUAUAAAUAGUCUUUUUUUUUUCAAGUUAUUUUUCUAACAAUAUCCCAAGACACGAUUAAGAAGAUAAAUUAAUAUAUCCAUUGAAAAGAAACAUCAACCAUAAAAAUAAGUUGGUGGAUAGUAGGGUAAUUUAAGAUAAAAUUAGUUGAAAAAUUAAGAAUAUUUUUUUUCUUCUAAAUUUACAUCAAUGAUUAUUUUUUAAUCAGUGUGUCUUAACCUUAAAGGAUUAUUAUUUUGGAAUGGAUGGAAUAUUAGAGAGACACAGCAGGUUCCUAACAGCACAAUAAUGUUCUCUAUGAAAAUGAUUUUGAAUGGAAUUUGAAUUGGCUGAUAGUAGUUGUUGUCAUUAAUGUUAAAAUUUGGGUUGGGUUGACCACAUUAGGUUCAUGGUAUUUUUUCCCUAACUUGGUCUCUAACCAAACCGAUCCGAUUAUUUGGGUUGGGUUGAUUCACAUUUGAUUCAUGGCACUUUUUCUAAGCUUGGGUCUCUAAACUAAACCAAUCCAGUCCAACUAUUAUCCGAUUCAUUUUGAUCAGCUGAUCGAGUUUAAUAUUAAAAUAAAAUAAAAUAAAAAAUUUAAAAGAAAUUAAAUAAAUUAGGAAAUUGAAUGUGAAGUAUGAAUUGAAUAUGUCAUUGUGAAGCAUGAAAAAAAUUAAAUGGACAGAGCUAAAGUCAUAAAUGCUAAAGAUUAAUCAAAUAUAAAAAUAAAAGAGAAAAUUAUGUAAUUGGAUGGGUCAGAUUGAUCAGGUCCCCAAAAUAAAAUUCGAGACCCGAUCGAAAUUGAUCGAAUUUGCAUUUUUUCAAUUAGACAUGAACGAAUAUGAAAUUUUUUAUUUAAAUGGGUUUAGAUUCAUUGGAUUAUUGAAUUAAUCUAGACAUGUGGUUAUUCCUAGUUAAAACCCAGUUGAGGGGCGAUGGUGUUUCAUUAUUAUAAAAUAGACUAAAUUAAUAUCAAACUGAUUAUAUAAAUUUAGAGCCGGUAGAUGAAAGAGUGCUCCAAAAUCAGAGCUUAGCUGUAAAAUUAGGAGAAAUAUUUUAGUUAAAGCCUUAUGGCCUAAGGUGUUCUUCACACGGCCAGUCUGUCAACAUGUACUGCCUAGUUGAUUGAGGAAGUAUUCAGCAAACUUAACAAGCUGAUUAGUUUGUGCAUGUUUGUUAUUGUUGCAAACGGACUUUUGAGAUAAAAUAAGAUUUUCAAAAGCAUUUAAUUCUUUUUUUUGUAAAACGGAGUUUGUUGGUUGUUAGAUUUAUCUUGGAAUUCUUACACCACAUUUUGAACGGAUAUUCAAACAUGCUUGACUUUAGACAUAGUCAAUGCGUCAACAUGUAAAGUACGCAUAUUCAAUUAAAUGCCAUUUUUUUGUACAAACACAAUGCUCCUAAAAGCAGAAUUGCUAAUCUACACCAAUCCAUUGAUAUCCAACAGCUAUUGAUGUCUCUACUGAACACUGAUGCCUAAUGAGCGUUUCCAUCUCUAUGGUUUAGAUGGUGGGUGUUGAUUCUCUGUUGGGUUAGGCCCUGAUGGGCUUUUACGCUUCUUUUCUUCAACCUGUGAUUUUGUUGCUCGAAUCAGAAUUUAUUCAUGUAAAUUAAGUAAAAUGAUUGAAAAUACAAAUAAGAAAAACGAUUAAUGUAUUUACUAACCCAAUAAGGUAUGACAUGUCCACUUCGCUGCUUUGGGCUAGCGUCUAAGCUUCCGAGCUUGAAAUGAACUGAGUGCAGAAAUAUAGAGUGAGGUGGCAUGCAAUUAGUUGCAAUGAACAUUGCAGAGCCAGCUUGGGCUUUACAAAUUAGUGCAUUUUUACAUUAAAAUUUAUAAACUUAAAUUUAAUCGGAGUUUGCAAAAACAAUGCAAGUCUUACCUUUACAAAAUUGAGUUUUCAGACAAAAUUUUCAUGCAUAAACGUAUUUUUUUGAAGUAAUGAAACAUGUCAUCAAAAUAAGUUUAGUUUCCAAAUGAAAAUCGAAACCUAGCCUUAGACGAACAGACAGAAGAAAAUAGUUUCAGAGCUAUUUGCAGGAGAAUGUGAAGCACCUGACUGAGUAGCCUGAACACUAGCAGUGACAUGAUUGAGUGCAGAAGCUGCAAGCAGAAGCCAUGCAAAGAGAAGAUGGACCAGAAUUUGUCUUCUCAUUUGUAGCAUACUUCUCAGUGAAUAAGAGUGUUGCGCUCUUAAUGGGGUAUGUCACGAGCAUUUUUGCAGUUUUUAUAUGCUAUAUCUUUUGGUAUUAUAUAAUCAUGACGAAACUUGAAAUUUUAUGUGAGAAUGUUUGUAAAAAGAUGCCCGGGAAUCCUAUGCCAUUACACUCUGUCUCUAAAAGAUCGAGAAUCUGUUUUUAUCCUCAUUAUGGAUUGACUUCUUACCCGUUAUCAUUUCUCUGUUAUCAUUGCUUCCAUGAUAAUUUUACAAGUACUUGUUCUUAUUUUUCUUUUUGAGUGCUUCGCCGAUAUGUUGGCAUCCUUUCUAUAUCAGUUUAAUAAAAUUUGAGCAAUAUUGUAGCGUAUCUGAUCUACAAAUCUAAGGAGUGUUAGUUGAUUGAACACGUGAGUUAGACAUCUUUGUUCGAUAAUACAAAUCCUUGAUGGUUCGGAUUAUUUCAUCUAGACCAUGUAUGAGUUGGUCUACAAGUAUAAAUAAGGAGUCUCCCAUUAGAAAGAGAUAAGUAUGUGACCAGCAUAUUAAAAAUAACGACUUACAAACUUCGAAUUUUAAGCAGGACAUCAGGAUCAAUCUAAGAUAAAAUAACUAAAAUUUAAGUUUUAGGUCUAUUAAUAAAAAAUUAUUUGUUAUUAGUUUUUUUAAAUAAAAGAAGGUUAACAUAUUAACUAAAAGGCCUCACAUAUUACUUUUUUCUUUAAGAUUAAAAAGUUUCAAUUUUAUUUUAGAUCUUACUUUUUGUUGGAUCGGUCGUAAUUUUAAGGUUUUUGAACAGAUGUGAUUUUAAAUUCUUGUGUGUUGUUUGGUUGUGGCUCAUUAAUGAAGUUUUCUAUGGUGUUUUACUCUCUUUGUAUUUCCAACAAGUGAUAUGAUUUCUGCAUGUAGGUUUUCCCAUUCUUAUUUCCAACUGUAUGUGUGUGUUCAGUUUGCAAAUAUUAGGGGUGUUUGUGAGUUUUGGUCAAAUUCAAGAUCCAACUUAAUCAAACUUGAUUGGUCUGAUUUAAUUUGAUUUUUAUAAUUUUCUUUUAGAUCCAACCCAAUUUAUUUAUGAACGACUUGAUUUAGUUGGAGCUAGCAUAUUAACCAUUUAACUUUGAUUUUUUCUUCUUUUUAUAAUUACUAUUUUAUAUCAUGAUUCAUCCAAAAAUUCAAUACAAUUAACGUAAUAUUAUCAAAUGUCUAAAAGUAAUAAAAUUGAUUCAUUUAAUACAAUUAACAUAAUAUUCUAAAAUAGAUUAAUACAAAUUAAAACAGAAUAUUAUUCAACGAGAUUUAUCAUAAUAGUGUGAAUUACAACUAUUUCCUACAAAUUAAUUUCUUGCAAUAAAUAGUUUUGUUGUAACCAAGUUUGUUAUAACCAGAUUUGUUAUAAUUAGAUUUACUUGAACAAAUGAAUAAAAUAUGACUCAUUAAUAUUAUAAACCUGACAAAAAAAAAUAUAAAAAAUGAAACAAAUAACAAUUUACCUAAUUUACCUAAAUACCGUAGGAUGUUCCAAUACUUGGACUCCUAAUAUUAGCCGUAUUUAAAGUCAAACGAAACAAUUCUAAAAAUUUAAAUACAACUCCAUCAGCACAACAAUUAAUUCUAUCAAUGUAAUGUGUUCUGGUGUUUGUAACCCUAACAUAUUUAAUUGUUUAUAUUUUAUUAAAAGCACUAAAGGAAAUAACUCACACGGGUUGGAUUAAUAGGUUUAUAAAUCUAAACUCAUCAUCGAUUUAAUUAGAUCUUGACUCAAAUAUAUAAAUUACUCAAUCCAAACUAUUCAAAUUAAUUUAAAUCAAUUUGAAUUCAAGAGUACCUCAUUCACUCACAUGAACACCCGCACCCCGCAGCAAAUGUACCUUUGUUGUUUACUGAACCUGGCCUAAAUUAGACUGGCUUUUGCGGAAAGACUACUUUCUUAUUCCAUUUGUACGUUUAUUUAAAGAAAUUGGCUUUCUCUAUAGCUAGCGUGAUAUAUAGCCUGGCUUAUGUGAGACAUGAUGAACAUCUUUAGUUACAAAGUCAAGUGUUGUUAUGAUUGCUUCAAUUAGAAUUUGAAUCAAAUCAAUCACCGAACCACACUAAUGCUACCAAAAUAAAUGUGCCUAAAAUGUUGUGGCAGCGACCUAAACGAACAAAUGUGUACCCGUAAAAUUAGGACGAUGAUAUGUUUAAGUUAAUCUAACCCACUGAUCUUUUGGUUGUUUCUUUUUUUUUGGUAAAUACUAACCCACUGAUUUGGUUUGUCAGAUAUAUUGAUCUGAUUUAUUGUAGAAAAUAGAAGUUUUUGCACCAACUUAAGGACUUAAGUAGUGUUAUACCAAUAAUAAAAUAUGAUGAACAAUUAACUACAACAGUCAAUUAGUUUAUUUUUUAAGAUAUUUUAAUUAGUUUUUAUUUUUUUAUUAAAUUUUGUUUGAUGGUUUAAUAAAUAAUUUUUUAGUAGUUUUUAAUGUUAUUAAAAUGUUACUUAAAAGUAAUAUUUUUUAAACAUUAACUUCCAGCUUUUAUAAUAUUACAUUUUUAUUCUUAAUAUAUUUAUCUAAUUUUUUAGUUAUCUAUUUUAAAUAUCUUGUUAGUUCCUAUCAUUUAACAUUUUUUUUUUUAUUUUUCAUCCUUCUAAAAUUAUCUUUAUUUGUAGUCCUUAAAGUACUUUACAUAAUAGUUUGAAUAAUGAAAAAAAUGUUUUCUAAAAUAUUAUAAUAACAAAAACAAAACAAACAAAGACUAAAAAAAAAUUGUAAGGAUGAAAAUAAAAAAAAAUAAUAAAUUACAAACCGAAAAGAUAUUUAAAUCUUAAAUAAAUUAUAAUUUUAUUAUUUUUUAGUUACUUCAAUAAUUAAUUUUAUCAAGCACUUAUAAUUUAAUAAAUUAAUUUUUUAACUUUCAGUUAUUAAUUAACAUUUUAGUUUUUAACAAAUUUUUUCAACUAAUUUUAUCUAAAAUAAUCUAUGUCUCAAUAAUUUGUUGUUUAAUAAAUUAUGUAAGAAUUUUCCUAAUCAUUUUGUUAUCCAUAAACCAGUUUAUGCCUGCAGACAGAGGUGGGGCUGAUUGAUAAUUAUGACUUGUUUUGACUAAGCUGAGUGAUCGGGAAUUGAUAACGCUGAAACGGUGGGGAUGGAGAUUGUUGUUAUAAAAUGAGUGUAAGUUUGGUUUGACGUUAAAAUAUUAAUAUAAUUUAUCUUAGAUAAAUUUUUAUAUAUUUAGUUUUAUGUUUGAGAAAAUUUAUUUGGAAUUGAAACAAUGUUGAGUAAUUUUUGUGUUAAAUAAAAAAUAAUAUAUUAAAUUUUAUUCUUAAUUUAAUUUUAUAAUAAAAAUAUUCAAUCACAAAUCACACAACUUAAAAAUUAAAUUUCAUUAAAAUCAAUUAAUUCAAAAAUAAUUUUACAAAUCAUCCAAACACAAAAGUAUUGGUAAAAUUAAUUUUGAAUGGAAUUAGUUUUAUAAAAUUGAUUUUAAUUAAAAUUAAUUUGAAGUGAUGUAAUUUAUGAUUGAAUGUUUUUAUUAUAAAAUAAAGUUAGAAAUAAAAUUUAAUAUAAAUUUUCUAAUCCAAAGUAAAAGUUAUUCUUCAACUCAAAAUUAAUUUUGGAUCCAGAAUUAAUAUUGAAAUAUUUUGUAACAUGAAAUAAAACAUAUAAAAUUUUAUCUAAAAUCAAUUCAUUAUUCACGUGAAACCAAGCACACAUUUAGUAUUUGUUGGAUAGACAUUGACAAAAUUGAUUUUGAAUGAAAUUAAUUUUGAUUAAAAUUGAUUUUGAAGUGAUGAUUUAUAUUUAGAUUUUUUAUUAUAAAAUUAAGUUAGGAGUAAAAUUUACAGAAUUUUAAAUCCAACAUAUAAACUAUUCAAAAUUAUUAUAAUUCAAAAUCAAUUUUGAAUUUUUCUUCAACUUAAAAUCAAACAUGUAAAAAUAUAUUUAAAAUGAAUCCCAAGGAGCAAACCAAAUCAAACAGGCACUUAAUUAUUAGAGUCCAUGCCAAUGCAAAAACAAAAAUAAUAAUUAUAAGCUGGUCUGCAAAGUUAAACGGGUCGUGGGAAUCCCGAACAAGCCUAGCUCUAAGCUGUAUAAUGUUUCUAUUUAUACCUCCAUUUUUCACAACUAUGACGUAGUUCCGGAGAAUGACUUCAGAAUUGUUUUUUGUUAUUCCUAAAAAUCAUUUUUGAUAAUUUUUUAUUUUGUUUUGUUUUAUCUUGUCACAAAUUUAUGUUUUUUCUAAUUUUUUUAUUUAUAUGUAAACGUGAAAUAUCGUGUUAUUAAGAUUUGUAAAGAGAUGAGUAUACCAAUUGAUGCGGGAGAAAAACCUGGAGGUGGGGUUAAGGAAGAGGCGUGUAACAAUUUUUUUAAAAAAAAGUGAAAAACCUGGGAUGCAAAAUAACGUUAAAAAGACUUUUAUCAGUAAUAAAACAAAACAAAACAAAGAGAAGAAAGGGAGGUGUACAUAACAAGUGCCCUAACUGUUUUUAUCUCAAGGCCCAAAGUGGAAUGAUUUUUUCGGUCUCUUAGUAAAUUUAUAUUAUACCCGUACCGAACCGUUUAUUGCAUGAGAGAUUUUAUAUUGAACAAAACUUAUAUAUAAUUUUUAAGGUAUUUUUAAUGUUAUUUUAGAAUUAGAAUUUUUCUUCCUAAAAAAAUUAGAAUUUUACUUUUGGUAAUUUAUAUUAACUUUUAGCAUAAAAUAUGUGACUUAUUGAAAUAAAUUUGUUUUUUAUUAGUUCACAAAUUAAAAAAAGAAAAAUAUUCUUUUAAGUCUCUUGUACAAUAAGAAAAAAACCGUCAUAAAUUAUGAGUCUAAUAAGUCAAAAACAUGUUAGGAGUAACUAAAAAAAGUAUAUUUUUUUAACUGAGAAAUUAAAAAAAGUACAUUUAAAUUUAAGAAACCAAAAACUAAAGUAAUAUAAAUUUAAGGAAAAAAACAUAUUUAAUCUUAAAAUAAAUAACAUUUGUUCAUUUCAUUCAAAUUCAAUGGUAAUACUUACAUUCCUAAAACAAACAACAACAAUAAUACUUAAUGUUUUGUUUGGUUUAAAUAAUAGAAAUAAUAAGGAUGAAAAUGAAAAAAAAAUUAAAAUAUAGUCUAAAAGAUACGAAACCAACAUAAAUAAUAAAAUCAACGUUAUUUCUCUCCCCUUUCCCUAAAACAAACACAACAUCUUCCAUUCAUUUAAAUCAAAAGUGAAUAUGAUUUUCUUAUUCAAGGUUAUUAUCUUUAGAAUUAAUUUAAUGGUAUAUUCGGAUUAAAUGAAACGGAAAAGAAAAUUAAUAAUGAUUUGUUAAAUAAUAAAAAAUAGAGAAGUAAAUAGUUUCUAAAAAUUAAAAUUCAAUUUUUCUUUUCUUUUUAUUUUAUUCAGAUUUCAAACUUGUCUCUUCCUUGUUAUUUUCUCUACGCCACAUCAAACAUCAUAUUGUAUUGUGGCAGUAAUUCGGCCCAAAACAACAAGUACAACAUUUUUAACAAACCACAAUGUGAUAACUGACCAAAAGGGGAAAAAAUGAAAAAAAAAAAAAAAACUAUCAAAAGUACUGUAAUAAAUAUUAAAUGGUUCUUGACCGGAAGGAUCAGACGUUCUACAAAAAGAAAAUAGUUAGUAGUAAAAGAAAUUUGUUUUUUUUUUUAAAAAACUAUAUCAUUAUAGAGAGGUUGAUUUCGCAGCCCCAAUUCCUUUUAAAUAUAAGGGGUGAUAAUACAUUUAAUGAAUAAAAUUCAAUUAAUAAAAGGAUAAGUGUUUACAUAUUAGUGGAACAAAAAGUAAAAAUGAAGAAUAUAUUUAUAUGCCCUGCAUAGGAUAUUUGAUUGCACUCUUACGGUAAAUAAAUUUUAUUUUAAAACCUAUUGUUUUGCCAAUUAAAUGGGUAUAAUCCAUAUUUUGUAAGUAUAUAUAUACUAUGAUGUGAUGUACAUAAUCAUUUGUAUGAAAUUAUUUUUUUGAAGCUUGUAUGAGAAUUUAUAUUAUAAAUUUUGUUAUGAAAUAUAUUAAAAUUACUCAAGAAAUUGUUUAAAUAUUUUUAUUAAAAUUCAAUUAAAAUAAAUCCCAACAACUUAUAAAAUUUAUAAAAUUUUUCCUAGAAAUCUGUUCAAAUGUUUCAUUAAUCUCAAAUUAUGAUCUAUGUACCAAAAAAAUAUUAAAAUGUACCAUCAAAAUCUCAAACUAUGAUCUGAAUGGAUAAUAUGUUCCAAAAAGCAUGACGAAUAUGGUUUUCGAACUUUGCUACUUCCAUUUAUUUCUUAGUAGUAUUUUAUACUAAUUUAUCCAAUAAAAUGUGACCAAGCCAAACCAAUUCGUCACAUGUUCGUGCAACGUUUCUUCCCCACAAAUUUUAGCACCGUUAUUAUUUAUUUUGCAAUCAAAUUGGGUUAAAUUUGUUGAGAUAAGAAAACGAAUGCACAUGGAGCUGGUCGUAAUUUGGUGAGUUGGUCACGACAAUAACGUUUGUGUAAGAUUGCAAGAGGAUAAGAAGCUCUGUUUACGAUGUCCUUGUCGGUCAACUUUUUUCUGAAAGUAAUCAUAAUUUUUUUAAAAACACUACGACAUUCAUGUUAAAUACUAUUUCCUCCAUUUUUAUAUAUAAGGAACAAAUAACUAAAUUCUCAAGAACAAUAAAAAAUAAUUAAAUUAGUUAUUUUUAAUUAAGGUUAUCAAAAUUGAGUUUGAUAGUUUUGUUAAAACUCCAUGGGAGUCUAUUUCAUAAAAAAUAUACAUAAAUAAUAAGUUAAUAUAUUCAAAAUAUAUUAUUUUGUAAGCAAAAUAACAAUAAAUUUAUAAUUCAUACUAUUAGUUUAUUAAAAACAUAAGUUGUCAAACUUAAAACAAGAAAUAAAAAGUAAACAUGGUGAGAUAUAAAAUACUACUCCUAAUUCAAAAAGCAUGAAACCAUGAUUAGCUAAAUCAUAAUUCGAAAGUCAGAAUUGGAUCAAAAUUAAACAUUGUGAGAUAUAAAAUACUACUCUUAAGUUAGAAUUGGAUCAAUUUCCGGUUCCCUUACGUGUGAUUGUUGCUUGGAUUAUGGGAAUCAAAAGGGACCUCAACUUCAACGUCCUAGAGACAGGUUCUCUUGUUGUGGCAAUAACAAUCACAGCCUUCACAUUAGUGACAUUACAGCCUUGUUCUCCUAUUUUGCUACAUUGUUAUUGGGGCAUGCUUUUUUGUACAAAGAACGCCCUCCCGUAAGCAUAGGAUAUGUAACAAAAAUAUUAACAAAUUACAACUUAUAUUAAUGCAUCAUGAUUCCUGAAAUUAUAAUUCAUAUCUAAAAUUUGGUCACUCUUUUUUCUAGACCAAGCUGAUGUUCCUAACAUAACGCUUAAAUUAGCAAUCGAAGCAGUGUUUAGAGCUCGGUAGGUAUGGUUCAUGUUCUCUAGUUAUAAAUAUGCAGCACACAUCACAUAAUCUUUUGUGUGCAUUCAAGAACUAUAUGAAACUAACUACUGGCACAGUGGCACUCGAUUGUAGGCGUAAAUGUUUGUUAGUGUAAGAGAAAGAAAGAAAGAAAGAAAAAUAGAGAGAGAUUCCUAAACAACUAAAGACAAAGUGGAACGAGUUUAGAAGAAGACUUACAUGACUUUCAGGCUCAAGCCUUCAACCAAGGGUCUCACGUCACCGUGUCUCGCGCUCAACCUUCACAACCAAACGCCCAAAUCGAUACCACUGAACCAACAACUUUGUUGUGACUCUAGGUGUUUUCGAAGAAGAACAAGACAGAAUAGAACGAGUUUGGAUUUUGGAAGAAGAGAAGGGAUCAAGAUAGCAACACAAGCUACCCUAACUUGUGUGUCCCUAAGUUUUGUUUCGCAACUUUUUUUCUAGGUUGUUCAAAACGAAGUCAUUUUUAGUAGUUUUAGUUUUUUCGAGUAAACUCUGUGACUAGGCCUAAACUCGUGAGUUUGCACGAGUUUGGUUCUAGUCCAUCGAGUCCACUUUAAGUUUGCCAAAAAAUCAAUUUGCUUGCAUUUUGACUCGUGUUAGUCAAGUAGACUCUUAAACUUAUAAAAGUUCACUAGUUGACUUUAGAGUUUGAUAACCAUGCUUUCAAUUAAUGAUAGUAAAAAUUAAAAUUUCAUUCCAAAAGUACCCUUAGAAUUAAAUAUAUUAAGUGGUGGUUAUAUUUAAUGAGGCUACUCUUAAUUUUAUGAACAAAACUUUUCAAUAAUAAAUAUUCUAUUUUUUAAAUGUCAAUACUAUCAAAAUUACUCAAAAAUAAGAUUUCUCUCUUAAAUUAAAAUUAAACAAACUGACAAAACUUUUACAAAUCAUGAUUUCCCACCAAAAAUUAAAAAUUCAUUAGUAUGAAAAUUGAAGUGUGACUCUCCAAUUCUUUUAGUAGCUGCACAAAAUAAAUAGAGUAGACCUCACCGGAAAAAAAAAAAAAAAAAGCACAUUUCACAAAAAAUGUCAAUGCAAAUGGACUUGAACAUUGCACCCGGGGAAAAUAAGGAACCAUUAACACUAUUGUUUGCACUUCAGGAAGUUGAGGAAACAAUAGGGACAGAGGGAACAUGAGAAAGUUGAAGAAACAUUCACCCCUGAGGAAGUUGAGGAGGAGCUAACACCGACUUUGACACCAAGUGAAGCUCAAUCUAUGAUAAAUAUUGACUUUUGUCUACUUGUUUGUAUUAUGUCCAAUUCAAAUAGUGUACUCAUAUGUUAUUUGACAUUUCAAAUCUCAUCAUCGUCACCCUUCAUGGAUAAUUGUCCCAAAACAUAACACACGCUUCAUUUGGAAUAUAUUGUCAUGUUUGAGAAAAAAAAAGGCACUAUAGUACAAGCACCUUAAAGGCUUGAACUUUUAACGCACCAUGAACUUAAACUUUUUAUAAGUGUGUACAACUUGCAUUUGAUGUUGGGGUGGUCACAUUUACAUAUAGGCGUCACUACAAAUUAAUUUACUCAUGUUUUAUGUGUUUCUUUUUUUUAAUACAACAAGCUAAAUCUACUUUUGAAUUUGUUGAGGCCUUUUUCUGGUUUCCUAUGUUCAUUUGCAAUAACUAACAUGUGAAAUGAAGGAUGAAUGGAUCAAUAUGAGACGAACAUAAUCUUCGCAGUAGUUAAUCUUAAUAAAAAGUAUUAAAAAAUAUUAUUAAUAAUCUUUGAUGAUUCAACUUUUAUCUUAAUUUGUGAUAUUUUGUUUCAUCAUAUUAAUUGUAGGGAUGUGUAGUAACUUGCAUAUUUUUUUACAGCAUUUCAAAUUUAGCUUUCAUUUAUAUGAAUAGCCACAAGGAAGUGGAGAAACCUUGUAUAUAUGCAACCAUAAAUUGUUAUUUUUCUUUAUGAUUGGUUUUUUUGUGUUGACAUUGUGACGGGUGAGCCAAGUUGCAGAAAACGUUCAUUUCCUAACAAAUGAACAAAGGAAGGCUAUAUCUCAUUUAUUGUUGCAGUCAAUUGAAAAUGGUAAACUAAAAUCUAGAACAAUAGUGCAAGUUGCAAAAUUGUACAACGUGAAUAGAAGCGUCGUUUUCAUAUUUGGAAUCAAUUGAAGGCUGUGGGUGAUGCUUCUCAUAACAAAACAAAGAACUAUGGAAGGAAAAUAGUUCAACUAAACGGUGAAAGUCUACAUAAAGUUCCAUUAUCAAAGCAGACUACCUUUUGUCUUUAUGUUGUGCUUUGAACAUUAACAUGACAUCAUUGUUUAGAUUGCAAAAAACAGGAGUUAUACAUCGCCAUUCAAAUGCACUUAAGCCAUGUUUAAAGCCGGAGAACAUGAUUGUUUGUUUAAAGUUUUGCUUGUCAAUGCUUAAUUGUGGCAACAUGCCUCAUGAUCCAAAGUUUAAGUCCAUGAAAAAUAUUUUGUUCAUUGAUGAGAAAUGUUUCUACAUUACAAAAUUUUUCACAAAUCUUUAUUUGUUUGCGGAGGAGGACGAGCCACAUAAGACAUGUAAAAGAAAAAUUUUUAUAGCCAAACUUAUGUUUUUAGUUGUAGUGGCUAGACUCAGGUUUAGCCAUGAAGGAAAUGAGACAUUUGCGGGAAAGAUUGGUGUUUUUCCUUUUGUAAUUGAUCAACCAACAAAGAGAACCGGUGUGAAUCGAGUGGCAAACACAAUCAAAAUGAAACCAUGACUUAUGUGAUAAAGGUGAAUAAAAUAUUCUUAAUCGAUAGAGUUUCGUUGGCUAUCAAGAAUCUAUGGCCAAGGGAAGAUGCAGGGAAACCAAUUUUUAUACAACAAGAUAAUGCAAGGUGUCAUGUUGAUCCAAAUGAUGUGGACUUUUGUCGAGCAUCAAAAGAAUGUAGGUUUAACAUUCAAUUUAAACUCUCAUGAUUUAAAUGUGUUGGAUUUGGGAUUUUUCAAUGUCAUAUAGUCUUUACAACAUAAAGAAGCAACAAAGACAAUUGACGAACUUAUUGUGGCAGUAGAAAAAUCAUUUCAUGUGUUUUCUACCACACAAUCAAAUAAGAUUUUUCUCACUCUUCAAUCAUGUAUGGUUGAAAUAAUGAAGAUCAAGGGAUCAAACAAGUACAAGAUAACUCGUAUGAAGAAAGAUAUGUCAUGUGACCAAGGUAGAAUACACAGUUAGUUGAGUUGUGAUCCUCUAUUGAUUCAUGAAGUCACUCAAUAUAUUAGUGAUAACAUUGUUUGACCUGUGUUAGUGAUGAAAAUACAAUUAUCUUUAUCAUUUGCUUUAUCAUUGUAACUUGUUUUAGUGAUGACAUUGCUUAAAUUGUGUUAUGAUUUACUUAAUUUAGUUGUUUUAUCCUUUAAUGAGCAAAAGUUGUUUUAUCCUUUUAUGAUUUUGGUUUGUUAUAUGUAAGUGCAAUUGGUAUUGGAAUGAGCUACAGGAUGAGGUUUGAAUUGUGGCACAUUAUUGAUGAUAAAAAAGAUUUCCAUUUUGUCUUGUGGCAAAAAUGAUAGAGAAUUUGUGGCACAUUACAGAUGAUGUUUUUCAAAGCAUGUAUAGAUUGAAGCUCCACAUAGUGAACACGUGUCAAUUAAUUUGAUACUUAUACCAUGCAUUUUAAUGAGUAUGAACGAGAAUCAUAAAAUUAAACUUAUGCUAACUCAAGUUGGAAAAGUUAUUGGUAGUGACAUUAAGAAAGUGAGUGACAAAAUUCUUGUGUUCACCUUUUGAUAAAAUUCUUUGCAUUAAAAAAACUCUUUUUUGAAAGACUUCAAAUUGAAAGUGAAUAAAAUACUCUACAUGAAGCUAGCUUAAUUUAUGAUAAAAAAAAUUUGACAACUAUAUGUUUGUAAAAAAUUCAAGGCAAAAGUCAUUAAAACUCUAUUUUGAUAAGGCUAUUAGCAUCAUGUAAUGCAUUGGCCUUUUGCUAAGUUAAAAAAGUUUAUGAAUUGAAAAUAAGAAUCAUGAAUAUGUAUGAAUUCAAAUAAGUAUUUUUAAAUUAACUAAAAAAAAUAAGUCCUUUUAAUUGAGUAGAAUAUUUAUUAAUUGUUUUUAUAAUAAAUCAUUUCAAUUAAUUUAAUUACUUACUUUUCUUAAAGAGAUCUACUCCAAAUUUCCAUAAAAAAAAACUACUUCAAAUAAGUAGACAUAAAUAUUAUGUUAAAAAAAACAAACAUUAACACAACAAGAUCUACUCCAACUUCUCAUUACAAAGAAAAAAUAAAAGAAAUAACUUCAAAUAAGCAAACAUAAAUAUUUAUCCCAAAAAAAGCAAAUUGAAGUCAGAUCCUCGUUGCACACACUUAUAUUUAAGCAACUUAGUAGAAUAUAUCAAAAUAAAUCUUUAGCAUUGACAAAACGUUUUUGUUCAUAUCUUCACUUUCAAAACCAAAAUCAUGCACGUCAUCCGGAUAUUUGUUAAGAUAAACAAGAUUGUUGUUGACGAAGCCACUAGAAGACAAGGGAGCACAACCAUUUGAACAAACCUCUUUGUUUUCUGUUAAAUCUUCCUCAAGCCAUGUUUUGUGCUUACGCCUAAAAAAGGUUUCUCCAACCUCAUUUUCAUCCUCGCUAGCCACCGACGAGUCGUCAACAAUCUUAUCAAAGGAAUCUUCAUCCUCUUCAAUCUUGAUAGCUUUUUUCAGGGAAUCAUUUACAAAAAUUUCGUUUGGAUCCUUGUUCAAAUUGAAAAUCUCAUCUUUCAAUUUGUUUUCCUUAAUCUCUGGUUCAUGCAUGGAAGCCAUUGUUGUUGUGAUUGAAGAUAACCAAUGGUCAAUAUACCAAGAGUUUGUUUACUAUCAUGGUGCAAAAAAAAAUGUUCUCCUUAUUUAAGAAAUAAAGUAUUUUUUUUUAACUACAAGGAUACUACAUGCAUGUUUGAUUUAAGGGGAUCAAUCAUAGCCAAAAGUAUUUGGAGUUGAUUCGAAGUGAAAAUUACAAGAAAAAAUAUUUGAUAAAGGUUAAAGGUAAAUGAAUGAGUGGAAAAAAUAUGAAACUCAUUACUUAAAACUUUUAUCUAAAAAUACAUACUGGGGUUUCGUAUAUUGUUAGUAUAAUCAGUUAUGUAAAUACUUUAAUUUUUAAAUUUGGUUGAGUUUCUUUGGGUUGGUGGAUUAAGUGUGUGUUUGAAUGCAGGUUGAUAAAAUUGAUUUUGUAAGAUUAAUUUUGAUUAAAAUUGAUAUUGAAAUAAUGUGAUGUUUAUUUGAAUAUUUUAUUAUACAAUCAAAUUAAAAAUAAAAUUUAGUACAAAAUUCAACGGAAAAAUUGUUCAAAGUUAAUUUAAUCUAAAAUCAAUUUUGAAUUGAUAAUGAAUUGAGUUAUUUAUUUAUUUACCUACUAAUUUAAUUUAUUUAUUUAUUUACGCUUUUGUUUCAUCUUAAUCAAAUACUCUGAUUUUCUAUUGUUUUUCUUCUCUCUUCAUUUAUGAUAAUUUCGUUCAUUUUCAUGGCUCUGUCAAAUACAAUAUUACAUUCUUGUAUUUUAUCUCUUUAUUUUAUUUUUUUCAAGCGGAGGUUCGAGCCCUUUGUUUAACAAGCGGAGGUUUCUGGUUUCACCAGAAUCCCCACACCCCCCUGACAAGUCAUGUCCGUGGCUUCAGACCAUCUUUUCAGAAUUUGUUCAAACGACAAAAACUCACAGAAAAAGCAAACCUUUCCCCACUUUUCCCCUUUCCACAACCAUAACAAAAUUCAAAUUUCAAAACGCCGCUUAAAUACACAUAGAGAAAGGACAAUCCCAUCCUACACAAAGCUACAUGGUAAAAAUAUAAACAGAAAUUAUACCACAUUUUCUCUAACAUUUUUGUCCUAUGGCUUAAUUCAAAAUAAUACAUUUUAGUAANNNNNNNNNNNNNNNNNNNNNNNNNNNNNNNNNNNNNNNNNNNNNNNNNNNNNNNNNNNNNNNNNNNNNNNNNNNNNNNNNNNNNNNNNNNNNNNNNNNNUUCAAACCAGGUCUAAAACAGUCCGCACGUAGAAUCAAACACGUUUUUCUUACAUAAAUAAAACUCCUAAUUAAUAAGAUAUUUUUUUUUUAAAAAAAAACACUGCCUAUAAAUAAACCCAAAAUAAAACCCUCUCUGAAACAACAUACUUCGAUUAUUUCUUUCCCCCCAGCCAUGGCUCGCUCAUUGUUCCUAUGCUCACUCCUCAUCCUCGCUGUCACCACCUUUUCCUCACCCACGGGUGCUCUUAUCCUGACCCUAGUCAACAACUGCAACUACACCGUGUGGCCCGGCAUCCAGCCCAACGCCGGCCACCCCGUCCUCGCCGGCGGCGGCCUCACCCUCCGCUCCCUCACCCACCAAUCCAUCCCCGUCCCCGACGCCCACUGGUCCGGCCGCGUCUGGGCCCGCACCGGCUGCUCCUACUCCGGCACCGCCUUCUCCUGCGCCAGCGGCGACUGCGGCGGCCGCCUCCAGUGCAACGGCGCCGGGGGCGCCGCACCCGCCACCCUCGCCCAGCUCGAGGUCCACCACGGCAGCAACGACUACGCCUCCUACGGCGUCAGCCUCGUCGACGGUUUUAACGUCCCCAUGAC
RNAcentral lists this long non-coding RNA (21164 nucleotides) under Glycine max (soybean). RNAcentral describes it as "long non-coding RNA (GMAX_LNC002586)". The record is from RNAcentral. Lineage: Eukaryota; Viridiplantae; Streptophyta; Magnoliopsida; Fabales; Fabaceae.